Molecule: long non-coding RNA, 1481 nt
Filed under: Helianthus annuus (common sunflower)
Lineage: Eukaryota; Viridiplantae; Streptophyta; Magnoliopsida; Asterales; Asteraceae
Description: hypothetical non coding rna
Source: RNAcentral
UUCGACUCGGUUCGUUACAUCGAACACUAUAUAAACCGCACCAUUCUUCUCCAUUCCUUCCUCACAGUCACCUCUCACCCUCACUGUUCGAUAACACCAUGUCGCGAAACUCGAAGACGACUCGCCGGAACCUCAAGCUUAUCACCAGAACCCUUUUCUAGUAGCCGGAGGUUGGAGACAUCGCCGGAGUAACCCGAUGACGCCGCCGGAGCUACUUAACCAUCGGAGCUCAACCGCAAGUUCGUCGGACCGGAGCUUGCCGGAGAAACCCAGUCGCCGCCGGAGAUAGAUCGAUGCUGCCAGAGAUGCGCGAAACACGACACAAAGUCAUCAGAACGUGCGGUAUACCUUUCUUUAAACAAACUGUGUUCUUGUUAAUCCUCUGCUAAAAAUCCUAUAUUAUUUGUAAUGUUAAUAGUCGUCAAAACAAAAGAAAGAAAACGGAAUUAUGGGUUACUGUCGUUGGGUUUUAAUAAGUAUAGGUUAAGAUGAUGACUGUUAUUGAUCUUUAUACAAACAAAACAAAAAAUGGUUUUCAUCAAAGAAAUAUGGUAGAACAGUAGUGCACGGUCUUAUCCUUAUUUGACUAUAAGAUGCAGUUUGCACCAUUUUAAUUCAACAAGAUUUCUUUUCUCUUUUAUUCCAAAAUAAUUAACGAAAAUGAUUUUACUACAAGAAAUCCAAUUAAUUGGAUUAUUACAAGAUUUUAUUCCAUUUUAACAAAAGAAUUGAUUUCUUUUGUUAAUUUAAAAGGAUUAAUAAUAAAAUAAAUUAUAAAUCCAAUUAAUCUAUUUCUAAACCUUAAUAUUCGGAAUCUUAUUUAACGAGUUCGUACACGUAUUUCAUAUCUAGGUUAAUCAUUUUCGUUCGUUCUCUUGGAAUUCUCCAUCCUUACUCUUGCGUUAUUCCACAAGAAAUCGCAACGCAAUCACAGUGAGUAUACAUGACCCAUUUUCGUUUUAUACUUUUUGGGUGCAAUAUGUAUUCCUUAUCAAAUUACACAAUCACGUUAAACAUUUUAUGCACACUCUAUCCAUACUCUAUGUGAUACAUUUUAAUCAUGUUAGACAUGUUAUGCUACUGUAAACAUUCAUGACUAUGUGUUCAUUAACUUUGCAAGCCUCCCCUAACAAUGGUAGCGCUAUAGGUUGAGAAACGCCCCUCUCGUUAUAUUAACGAGUAUUGUUAGGUUAAACUAUGUUAAAACCACCCGUACACUUUUGGGUUGGACACUUUAAUUGCGUUAAACUUUGGUUUGGACACGUAGAGUAACAUCGUUUCGAGUAUAUACUGUCAAUAUGAUAUUGUAUUUCAUAUUUGGAUAUGAGCAACAUUUUAAACACGUUGAUUUAUCAAGAUACAAGAAAGCAAGCUAGGAUGGCCUAGAAACUCAUUUUAGAAAUAAACUAUUGUUGAAUUUGUAUUUGGAUGUUUGAAACUUUGUAUUAUCCUUUAGAAUCUAAUAAAAUGAUUUAACUUAU